CCUACGGGAGGCAGCAGUGAGGAAUAUUGGUCAAUGGGCGCGAGCCUGAACCAGCCAAGUAGCGUGAAGGAUGACUGCCCUACGGGUUGUAAACUUCUUUUAUAAAGGAAUAAAGUGCGGCACGUGUGCCUUUUUGUAUGUACUUUAUGAAUAAGGAUCGGCUAACUCCGUGCCAGCAGCCGCGGUAAUACGGAGGAUCCGAGCGUUAUCCGGAUUUAUUGGGUUUAAAGGGAGCGUAGACGGGUUGUUAAGUCAGUUGUGAAAGGUUGCGGCUCAACCGUAAAAUUGCAAUUGAUACUGGCAGUCUUGAGUACAGAUGAGGUAGGCGGAAUGCGUGGUGUAGCGGUGAAAUGCUUAGAGAUCACGAAGAACUCCGAUUGCGAAGGCAGCUUACUAAACUGCCACUGACGUUGAUGCUCGAAAGUGUGGGGAUCAAACAGGAUUAGAUACCCCUGUAGUC
RNAcentral lists this ribosomal RNA (460 nucleotides) under uncultured bacterium. RNAcentral's name for it is "partial 16S ribosomal RNA". It matches the Rfam family "Bacterial small subunit ribosomal RNA", at positions 338 to 795 of the family's 1533-position model. The record is from RNAcentral.